GGGGAUUUAGCUCAGCGGCAUAAGCGCCUGCCUUGCAAGCAGGCAGUCCUGAGUUCGAUCCCCAGUACCA
Molecule: transfer RNA, 70 nt
Filed under: Cavia porcellus (domestic guinea pig)
Lineage: Eukaryota; Metazoa; Chordata; Mammalia; Rodentia; Caviidae
Rfam family: tRNA
About the family: Transfer RNA (tRNA) molecules are approximately 80 nucleotides in length. Their secondary structure includes four short double-helical elements and three loops (D, anti-codon, and T loops).
Source: Rfam by way of RNAcentral